This 407-nucleotide ribosomal RNA is filed under the name uncultured microorganism. RNAcentral describes it as "bacterial SSU rRNA". It matches the Rfam family "Bacterial small subunit ribosomal RNA", at positions 509 to 917 of the family's 1533-position model. The record is from RNAcentral.
CAGCAGCCGCGGUAAUACGUAGGGGGCGAGCGUUACCCGGAUUCACUGGGCGUAAAGGGGGUGUAGGCGGCUCGGUAAGUCGGGUGUGAAAUCCCACGGCUCAACCGUGGAAUUGCACCCGAAACUGCCGAGCUUGGGGCCGGUAGAGGGAGACGGAACUGCCGGUGUAGGGGUGAAAUCCGUAGAUAUCGGCAGGAACGCCGGUGGGGAAGCCGGUCUCCUGGGCCGCGCCCGACGCUGAGGCCCGAAAGCUAGGGGAGCAAACCGGAUUAGAUACCCGGGUAGUCCUAGCCGUAAACGAUGCCCACUAGGUGUGGGGGAGUAUUUCCUCCGUGCUGUAGCUAACGCGUUAAGUGGGCCGCCUGGGGAGUACGCCCGCAAGGGUGAAACUUAAAGGAAUUGGCGGG